Molecule: RNA transcript, 1263 nt
Organism: Elephantulus edwardii (Cape elephant shrew)
Lineage: Eukaryota; Metazoa; Chordata; Mammalia; Macroscelidea; Macroscelididae
Gene name: O-sialoglycoprotein endopeptidase-like 1 pseudogene
Exons: 1
Source: RefSeq, a predicted model, not a curated record
AUUAUCUAUAAAGUAAAUAUGCUCAUAUUGAAUAAGACGGCAGGAUCUUUUUCUAAGCCAUCAAAAAGAAAAAUUUAUGAAAUACUAAGAUGUUUUCUUUUUCAUCCUGGAAAACGAUUUCUCCAUAAACUAGUAUUGGGAAUUGAAACCAGUUGUGAUGAUACAGCAGCUGCUGUGGUAGAUGAAACUGGAAAUGUGUUGGGAGAAGCAAUACAUUCUCAAACUGAAGUUCAUUUAAAAGAAGGUGGGAUUAUUCCUCCAGUAGCUCAGCAGCUUCACCGAGAAAACAUUCAACGAAGAGUACAAGAAGCUCUUUCUGCCAGUAAAGUCCCUCCAAGUGAACUUUCAGCAGUCACAACUACCAUCAAGCCAGGACUUGCUUUAAGCUUAGGUGUAGGGUUAUCAUAUAGUGUACAGCUUGUAAACCAGUUGAAAAAGCCUUUUAUUCCCAUUCAUCACAUGGAGGCCCAUGCACUUACUAUUCGGUUAACCAAUAAUGUAGAAUUUCCUUUCUUAGUUCUUUUGAUCUCUGGAGGUCGUUGUCUGUUGGCAUUAGUUCAAGGAGUUUCAGCUUUUUUGCUGCUUGGAAAAUCUUUGGAUAUUGCUCCAGGUGACAUGCUUGAUAAGGUAGCAAGAAGACUUUCUUUAAUAAAACAUACAGAGUGCUCCACCAUGUGUGGUGGGAAAGCUAUAGAAUAUUCGGCAAAACAAGGAAAUAAAUUACAAUUUGAUCUCAAGCCACCCUUGCAUCGUAACAAAAAUUGUAAUUUUUCAUUUACUGGGCUUCAAAACACUGUUGACAAAAUUAUAAUACAAAAGGAAAAAGAGGAAGGCAUUGAGACAGGACAGAUCCUGUCUUCAGCUGCUGACAUUGCUGCUGCAGUACAGCACACAAUAGCAUGCCACAUUGCAAAAAGAACACAUCAUGCUAUCCUCUUUUGUCAACAGAGAGGCUUGUUGUCCCAGACUAAUGCAGUACUGGUUGCAUCUGGAGGCAUUGCAAGUAACCUAUAUAUCCGAAAAGCUUUGGGUAUUAUAGCUGAUGUAACUCAGUGCACUUUGUUGUGCCCCUCUCCCAGGCUAUGCACUGACAAUGGCAUUAUGAUUACAUGGAAUGGCAUUGAAAGAUUACGUGCUGGCUUGGGCAUUUUACACAGCGCAGAAGGCAUCCGCUAUGAACCAAAAUGUCCUCUUGGAGUAGAUAUAUCAAAAGAAGUUGGAGAAGCUGCCAUAAAAGUACCAUGAUUAAAAAUGGAGAUUUGA